UACAGAGGUCUCAAGCGUUGUUCGGAUUCAUUGGGCGUAAAGGGUGCGUAGGCGGCGGGGUAAGUCUGAUGUGAAAUCCCGGGGCUCAACCCUGGAACUGCAUUGGAUACUGCUCUGCUUGAGUACUGGAGAGGAGACUGGAAUUUACGGUGUAGCAGUGAAAUGCGUAGAGAUCGUAAGGAAGACCAGUGGCGAAGGCGAGUCUCUGGACAGUUACUGACGCUGAGGCACGAAGGCCAGGGGAGCAAACGGG
This 253-nucleotide ribosomal RNA is filed under the name uncultured bacterium. RNAcentral describes it as "partial 16S ribosomal RNA". It matches the Rfam family "Bacterial small subunit ribosomal RNA", at positions 524 to 776 of the family's 1533-position model. The record is from RNAcentral.